Molecule: transfer RNA, 91 nt
Filed under: Nocardiopsis lambiniae
Lineage: Bacteria; Bacillati; Actinomycetota; Actinomycetes; Streptosporangiales; Nocardiopsidaceae
Description: Nocardiopsis sp. DSM 44743 tRNA-Ser
Source: RNAcentral
AGGGGAGCUAAUGGGGCAUAGUGGGGCGUAUCGGCGUGGCCGGAGCGGACUUUUAAUCCGUGGGUUCAGGGUUCGAGCCCCUGGGGGCCUA